RNAcentral lists this ribosomal RNA (448 nucleotides) under uncultured bacterium. RNAcentral's name for it is "bacterial SSU rRNA". It matches the Rfam family "Bacterial small subunit ribosomal RNA", at positions 331 to 793 of the family's 1533-position model. The record is from RNAcentral.
CCAGACUCCUACGGGAGGCAGCAGUGGGGAAUAUUGGACAAUGGGGGGAACCCUGAUCCAGCGACGCCGCGUGAGUGAAGAAGUAUUUCGGUAUGUAAAGCUCUAUCAGCAGGGAAGAAAGAAAUGACGGUACCUGACUAAGAAGCCCCGGCUAACUACGUGCCAGCAGCCGCGGUAAUACGUAGGGGGCAAGCGUUAUCCGGAUUUACUGGGUGUAAAGGGAGCGUAGACGGCGAUGCAAGUCUGAAGUGAAAGGCGGGGGCCCAACCCCCGGACUGCUCUUGGAACUGCGUGGCUGGAGUGCAGGAGGGGCAGGCGGAAUUCCUGGUGUAGCGGUGAAAUGCGUAGAUAUCAGGAGGAACACCGGUGGCGAAGGCGGCCUACUGGACGGUGACUGACGCUGAGGCUCGAAAGCGUGGGGAGCAAACAGGAUUAGAUACCCGGGUAC